RNAcentral lists this ribosomal RNA (425 nucleotides) under uncultured bacterium. RNAcentral's name for it is "partial 16S ribosomal RNA". It matches the Rfam family "Bacterial small subunit ribosomal RNA", at positions 354 to 796 of the family's 1533-position model. The record is from RNAcentral.
GUGGGGAAUCUUAGACAAUGGGCGCAAGCCUGAUCUAGCCAUGCCGCGUGAGCGAUGAAGGCCUUAGGGUUGUAAAGCUCUUUCGUGGGGGAAGAUAAUGACUGUACCCCAAGAAGAAGCCCCGGCUAACUCCGUGCCAGCAGCCGCGGUAAUACGGAGGGGGCUAGCGUUGUUCGGAAUUACUGGGCGUAAAGCGCACGUAGGCGGACUGGAAAGUCAGGGGUGAAAUCCCGGGGCUCAACCCCGGAACUGCCUUUGAAACUCCCAGUCUUGAGUUCGAGAGAGGUGAGUGGAAUUCCGAGGGUAGAGGUGAAAUUCGUAGAUAUUCGGAGGAACACCAGUGGCGAAGGCGGCUCACUGGCUCGAUACUGACGCUGAGGUGCGAAAGCGUGGGGAGCAAACAGGAUUAGAAACCCCAGUAGUCC